RNAcentral lists this ribosomal RNA (754 nucleotides) under uncultured bacterium. Its description in RNAcentral is "bacterial SSU rRNA". It matches the Rfam family "Bacterial small subunit ribosomal RNA", at positions 8 to 796 of the family's 1533-position model. The record is from RNAcentral.
AGAGUUUGAUCCUGGCUCAGGAUCAACGCUGGCGGCGUGCCUAAUGCAUGCAAGUCGCACGGACCAUCUUCGGGUGGUCAGUGGCGAACGGCUGAGGAACACGUGCGUAUCUGCCUUCUCGUGGGGAAUAACGGGUGGAAACACCCGCUAAUACCGCGUACGCUCACGCAAGUGAGGAAAGCCCUUCGGGGCGCGGGGAGAGGAGCGCGCGGCCCAUCAGGUAGAUGGCGGGGUAAUGGCCCACCAUGCCGGUGACGGGUCGCUGGUCUGUGAGGAUGACCAGCCAGACUGGGACUGCGACACGGCCCAGACACCUACGGGUGGCAGCAGCAAGGAAUCUUCGGCAAUGGGCGCAAGCCUGACCGAGCAACGCCGCGUGGAGGACGACGGCCUUCGGGUUGUAAACUCCUUUUCUGCGGGAAGAUACGGACGGUACCGCAGGAAUAAGCCCCGGCUAACUCUGUGCCAGCAGCCGCGGUAAUACAGAGGGGGCAAGCGUUGUCCGGACUUACUGGGCGUACAGCGCGCGCAGGUGGUCGGCUAAGUUCGUGGUGACAGCGUGCGGCUCAACCGCACAGGGUCCAUGGAGACUGGUCGACUAGAGGCAUCGAGAGGGAUACGGAAUACCCGGUGGAGCGGUGAAAUGCGUAGAGAUCGGGUGGAACACCAGCGGCGAAGGCGGUAUCCUGGCGAUGACCUGACACUGAGGCGCGACAGCGUGGGGAGCAAACGGGAUUAGAUACCCCGGUAGUCC